RNAcentral lists this non-coding RNA (18 nucleotides) under Arabidopsis thaliana (thale cress). The record is from RNAcentral. Lineage: Eukaryota; Viridiplantae; Streptophyta; Magnoliopsida; Brassicales; Brassicaceae.
UGGCGAUGUGUUGGCUUA